GACGAACGCUGGCGGCGUGCUUAACACAUGCAAGUCGUACGGUAAGGCCCUUUCGGGGGUACACGAGUGGCGAACGGGUGAGUAACACGUGAGUAACCUGCCCACAACUUUGGGAUAACGCUAGGAAACUGGUGCUAAUACUGGAUAUGUGCUCCUGCUGCAUGGUGGGGGUUGGAAAGCUCCGGCGGUUGUGGAUGGACUCGCGGCCUAUCAGCUUGUUGGUGGGGUAGUGGCCUACCAAGGCGGCGACGGGUAGCCGGCCUGAGAGGGUGACCGGCCACAUUGGGACUGAGAUACGGCCCAGACUCCUACGGGAGGCAGAAGUGGGGAAUAUUGCACAAUGGGCGCAAGCCUGAUGCAGCAACGCCGCGUGCGGGAUAACGGACUUCGGGUUGUAAACCGCUUUCAGCAGGGACGAAGCUUUUUGUGACGGUACCUGCAGAAGAAGCACCGGCUAACUACGUG
RNAcentral lists this ribosomal RNA (465 nucleotides) under uncultured bacterium. RNAcentral describes it as "partial 16S ribosomal RNA". It matches the Rfam family "Bacterial small subunit ribosomal RNA", at positions 28 to 507 of the family's 1533-position model. The record is from RNAcentral.